RNAcentral lists this ribosomal RNA (460 nucleotides) under uncultured bacterium. RNAcentral's name for it is "partial 16S ribosomal RNA". It matches the Rfam family "Bacterial small subunit ribosomal RNA", at positions 338 to 795 of the family's 1533-position model. The record is from RNAcentral.
CCUACGGGUGGCAGCAGUGAGGAAUAUUGGUCAAUGGACGAGAGUCUGAACCAGCCAAGUAGCGUGAAGGAUGACUGCCCUAUGGGUUGUAAACUUCUUUUAUAUGGGAAUAAAACGUUCCACGUGUGGGAUUUUGUAUGUACCAUAUGAAUAAGGAUCGACUAACUCCGUGCCAGCAGCCGCGGUAAUACGGAGGAUCCGAGCGUUAUCCGGAUUUAUUGGGUUUAAAGGGAGCGUAGGUGGAUUGUUAAGUCAGUUGUGAAAGUUUGCGGCUCAACCGUAAAAUUGCAGUUGAAACUGGCAGUCUUGAGUACAGUAGAGGUGGGCGGAAGUCGUGGUGUAGCGGUGAAAUGCUUAGAUAUCACGAAGAACUCCGAUUGCGAAGGCAGUUCACUGGACUGCAACUGACACUGAGGCUCGAAAGUGUGGGUAUCAAACAGGAUUAGAUACCCUUGUAGUC